GACGAACGCUGGCGGCGUGCUUAACACAUGCAAGUCGAACGGUGAAGCGCCUUCCUUUUUGGUGGGUGUGGAUGAGUGGCGAACGGGUGAGUAACACGUGAGUAACCUGCCCCCUUCUUCUGGAUAACCGCAUGAAAGUGUGGCUAAUACGGGAUAUUCUGGGUCUGUCGCAUGAUGGGUCUGGGAAAGAUAUUGUUUCGGUGGGGGAUGGGCUCGCGGCCUAUCAGCUUGUUGGUGGGGUGAUGGCCUACCAAGGCGGUGACGGGUAGCCGGCCUGAGAGGGUGGACGGUCACACUGGGGCGGAGACGCGGCCCAGACUCCGACGGGAGGCAGCAGCGGGGAAUAUUGCACAGUGGGCGCAAGCAUGAUGCAGCGACGCCGCGUGAGGGAUGGAGGCCUUCGGGUUGUGAACCUCUUUCGCCAGUGAAGCAGGCCUGCCUCGUUUGUGGGUGGGUUGACGGUAGCUGGAUAAGAAGCGCCGGCUAACUACGUG
Molecule: ribosomal RNA, 494 nt
Filed under: uncultured bacterium
Lineage: Bacteria
Description: partial 16S ribosomal RNA
Rfam family: Bacterial small subunit ribosomal RNA
Source: RNAcentral